Molecule: ribosomal RNA, 409 nt
Filed under: Romboutsia timonensis
Lineage: Bacteria; Bacillati; Bacillota; Clostridia; Peptostreptococcales; Peptostreptococcaceae
Description: bacterial SSU rRNA
Rfam family: Bacterial small subunit ribosomal RNA
Source: RNAcentral
AACGAGCACAACCCUUGCCUUUAGUUGCCAGCAUUAAGUUGGGCACUCUAGAGGGACUGCCAGGGAUAACCUGGAGGAAGGUGGGGAUGACGUCAAAUCAUCAUGCCCCUUAUGCUUAGGGCUACACACGUGCUACAAUGGGUGGUACAGAGGGCAGCCAAGUCGUGAGGCGGAGCUAAUCCCUUAAAGCCAUUCUCAGUUCGGAUUGUAGGCUGAAACUCGCCUACAUGAAGCUGGAGUUACUAGUAAUCGCAGAUCAGAAUGCUGCGGUGAAUGCGUUCCCGGGUCUUGUACACACCGCCCGUCACACCACGGAAGUUGGGGGCGCCCGAAGCCGGAUUGCUAACCUUUUGGAAGCGUCCGUCGAAGGUGAAAUCAAUAACUGGGGUGAAGUCGUAACAAGGUAACC